CCUACGGGAGGCAGCAGCAGGGAAUAUUGUGCAAUGAGCGAAAGCUUGACACAGCGGCACCGCGUGUGGGAUGACGGUUCUAGGAUUGUAAACCACUUUCAGGAGGGAAGAAAAUGACGGUACCUCCACAAGAAGACCCGGCCAACUAUGUGCCAGCAGCCGCGGUAAUACAUAGGGGUCAAGCGUUGUCCGGAUUUAUUGGGCGUAAAGAGCUCGUAGGCGGUUCAACAAGUCGGUCGUAAAAGUUUAGGGCUCAACCCUAAAAUGUCGAUCGAUACUGUUGUGACUAGGAUACGGUAGAGGUGAAUGGAAUUCCGAGUGUAGCGGUGAAAUGCGUAGAUAUUCGGAGGAACACCAAUUGCGAAGGCAGUUCACUGGACCGUGAUCGACGCUGAGGAGCGAAAGCUAGGGGAGCAAACAGGAUUAGAUACCCUGGUAGUCCUAGCUGUAAACGAUGGAUACUAGAUGUAGGAACUGGAUUGACGGUUUCUGUAUCGUAGCUAACGCGUUAAGUAUCCCGCCUGGGGAGUACGGUCCCAAGACUAAAACUCAAAGGAAUUGACGGA
This 566-nucleotide ribosomal RNA is filed under the name uncultured bacterium. RNAcentral describes it as "bacterial SSU rRNA". It matches the Rfam family "Bacterial small subunit ribosomal RNA", at positions 338 to 917 of the family's 1533-position model. The record is from RNAcentral.